Molecule: ribosomal RNA, 459 nt
Filed under: uncultured bacterium
Lineage: Bacteria
Description: partial 16S ribosomal RNA
Rfam family: Bacterial small subunit ribosomal RNA
Source: RNAcentral
CCUACGGGUGGCAGCAGUGAGGAAUAUUGGUCAAUGGCCGGAAGGCUGAACCAGCCAAGCCGCGUGAAGGACGAAGGUGCCAAGCAUUGUAAACUUCUUUUGUCAAGGGACAAAAUCAGGCUCGAGAGCCUGACCGAGGGUACUUGAAGAAAAAGCAUCGGCUAACGCCGUGCCAGCAGCCGCGGUAAUACGGAGGAUGCGCGCGUUAUCCGGAUUUAUGGGGUUUAAAGGGUGCGUAGGCGGGCUGUUAAGGCAGCGGUAAAAGCCCGGGGCUCAACCCCGGCGAGCCGUUGAAAAUGGCUGUCUUGAGAUGUCGAGAGGUAUGCGGAAUGCGCAGUGUAGCGGGGAAAUGCUUAGAUAUUGCGCAGAACUCCGAUUGCGAAGGCAGCAUACCGGCGGCGAUCUGACGCUGAGGCACGAAAGCGUGGGUAUCGAACAGGAUUAGAUACCCCAGUAGUC